UACGUAGGGUGCGAGCGUUGUCCGGAAUUAUUGGGCGUAAAGAGCUUGUAGGCGGUUUGUCGCGUCUGCUGUGAAAAUCCGGGGCUCAACCCCGGACUUGCAGUGGGUACGGGCAGACUAGAGUGUGGUAGGGGAGACUGGAAUUCCUGGUGUAGCGGUGAAAUGCGCAGAUAUCGGGAGGAACACCGAUGGCGAAGGCAGGUCUCUGGGCCACUACUGACGCUGAGAAGCGAAAGCAUGGGGAGCGAACAGG
Molecule: ribosomal RNA, 253 nt
Filed under: uncultured bacterium
Lineage: Bacteria
Description: partial 16S ribosomal RNA
Rfam family: Bacterial small subunit ribosomal RNA
Source: RNAcentral